Long non-coding RNA from Gossypium raimondii (Peruvian cotton), 1810 nucleotides. RefSeq lists it as uncharacterized. The transcript is spliced from 2 exons. The record is from RefSeq and is a predicted model, not a curated record. Lineage: Eukaryota; Viridiplantae; Streptophyta; Magnoliopsida; Malvales; Malvaceae.
UAAUUUCGAGUUUAGGAUGGAAAAUAUAUAUUUUUCAGUUUGGAGCUACAUGGAAAGAAGUUGUGGAAGAUCAAUCGAAUGUAGAUAUUAUUAUUAGAAGGAAACUUCCUGAUGAUAAUAUGGGACAUGUUGAACAACCUACCUUGGAACUUUCGUCAGCCAUGGAGGGUAUUGUUAGAAACCUUCAUCGGGAUAGGGAAUGGUUUAAUGUGGAGAGUUCAUCCUUGAAGGAGGGAAAAAGUUUGGAAGUGGGCUUUAACCGAGGUAUUGGGGUUCUUUGGAAUGGUGGAGUGAUGGAAGAAUUCAAGCUUUCUAGGGGGCUGCGACAAGGGGACCCUCUAUCUCCUUACUUAUUUGUUUUAUGCAAGGAGAGAUUGAGGGCACUUAAUUAAUGAAGCAGUGAGUAAUGGAAGGUGGAAGCCUUUGAUUAUGGCUAGGGGAGGUCUAGCCUUAUCAUAUCUUUUUUUGUUGUUGUUGAUGAUUUCAUGCUUUUUGGGGAAGUGGAUCCAAAGCAAGCUAAAGUGAUUAUUGAUAUUUUGAGUACCUUCUGUCAUUUUUUGGGACAAAAAGUGAAUAAAAAUAAAUCUCAGGUGUUCUUUUCGCCUAAUGUUUCGAAAAUUAUUGCAUCAGAUAUCUGCAUGAAGGUAGGAUAUGGUCGAGUAGAUGACCUGGGAAUCUAUCUUGGACUUCCAAUUAUCCAUAAGAGAGUUGGAACUGACACUUUUAAAUUUUUUUAAUCGAUAAAGUUCGUUGUAGGCUUAAUGGAUGGGAGGCUUAGAAGCUAUCACUGACAAGUAGAAAUACGAUGCUAAGUCAGUGUUGUUAUCAAUUCCUAAUUAUUUUAUGUCUAUAGUUCGCAUUCUUGUAACGGUGUGUGUUCAGAUUGAAAAGCUAGCUCGUAAUUUUGUUUGGAGAUCUUCUUCUGAUGAUAGGAAGUCGGCUCUCUUAAAAUGGGAUGACUACUGUCAUCCGAUUGACGUUAGGGGUUUAGGUAUAAGAAAUCUAGCUAUUUAGAAAAAGUUAUUUCUUUUGAAACUUGGUUUCCUUUUGUUAACCAAGAUUGAUGACUUAUGGGUUAGGGUUGUAAGGAGUAAGUACAAGAUUUGUGGGGUGCUUCCGAAUUCUAUUGCUAGGAGUAAUUGCUCCUAUAAAUGGGGGGUCCUUAAUGCGAGUUUGGCAAGAUGUGGUGGAUAAUGUUUAUUAGACUACUGGAAAUGAAUAUCUGAUGAAUUUUUGGAACGAUAAUUGGAUUCCUCAAGUGGGUCCUCUAAGGAAUUUCUAUAUGGGAUCCGAGCAGUUAGAUGAAACUUUAUGAGUCUACGAUUUAGUUGAUAAAUUUGGGAACUGGGAUUGGACUCAUCUUAAAAAUUUCCUACCAGAUUUAAUUGUGAUGCAAAUAGCCUUGGUAUUGCCUCUUUAGCUGGGUACAGGGAAUGAUUGACUAUUGUGGAGAUGAGCGACUAGAAAUUCCUUUUCCAUGGGAGAUACAUAUAAAAGGUAUGUACCAAUCUUAGUUGACAAAUAAUUCUAACAUUUGGAAAUUGUUUUGGAAAGCCAAGGUACCGCAGCGGGUUAGAGUGUUCAUUUGGCUAUUAUGGAAGAACAAACUUUUGACGAGUGAGAGAGUUAGGAGACAUAUGUCUUGUGAAAGUAAUUUUUUGAGAUAAAAUUUUACUAAUGAAUUUAAGUUACAUGCUGUCAAAGAUUGUUCAUUCCUAUGGGCAGUUUGGAAUUCGAUUGUACCACCGUAAAAACAUGUAUUAUUUUUCUCCCUAACUUUUGAUAAAUGGAUUAUCUGGAACUUGCAAAA